Molecule: ribosomal RNA, 468 nt
Filed under: uncultured bacterium
Lineage: Bacteria
Description: partial 16S ribosomal RNA
Rfam family: Bacterial small subunit ribosomal RNA
Source: RNAcentral
GACGAACGCUGGCGGCGUGCUUAACACAUGCAAGUCGAACGGAAAGGCCCUGCUUUUGUGGGGUGCUCGAGUGGCGAACGGGUGAGUAACACGUGAGUAACCUGCCCUUGACUUUGGGAUAACUUCAGGAAACUGGGGCUAAUACCGGAUAGGAUCUCCUGCUGCAUGGUGGGGGUUGGAAAGUUUCGGCGGUUGGGGAUGGACUCGCGGCCUAUCAGCUUGUUGGUGGGGUAGUGGCUUACCAAGGCUUUGACGGGUAGCCGGCCUGAGAGGGUGACAGGCCACGUUGGGCCUGAACUACGGCCCAGACUCCACCGGGAGGCAACAGUGGGGAAUAGUGCACAAUGGGCGGAAGGAUGAUGCAGCAACGCAGCGUGCGGGAUGACGGCCUUCGGGUUGUAAACCGCUUUCGCCUGUGACGAAGCGUGAGUGACGGUAAUGGGUAAAGAAGCACCGGCUAACUACGUG